GAGGGUUUAGCUCAGCGGUAGAGCACAUACUUAGCAUGCACAAGGUCCUGGGUUCAAUCCCCAGUACCUCCA
Molecule: transfer RNA, 72 nt
Filed under: Camelus bactrianus (Bactrian camel)
Lineage: Eukaryota; Metazoa; Chordata; Mammalia; Artiodactyla; Camelidae
Also listed under: 2 other names
Rfam family: tRNA
About the family: Transfer RNA (tRNA) molecules are approximately 80 nucleotides in length.
Source: Rfam by way of RNAcentral